AGUGAACGCUGGCGGUAGGCCUAACACAUGCAAGUCGAACGGCAGCACAGUAAGAGCUUGCUCUUACGGGUGGCGAGUGGCGGACGGGUGAGGAAUACAUCGGAAUCUACUUUUUCGUGGGGGUUAACGUAGGGAAACUUACGCUAAUACCGCAUACGACCUACGGGUGAAAGCAGGGGAUCUUCGGACCUUGCGCGAUUGAAUGAGCCGAUGUCGGAUUAGCUAGUUGGCGGGGUAAAGGCCCACCAAGGCGACGAUCCGUAGCUGGUCUGAGAGGAUGAUCAGCCACACUGGAACUGAGACACGGUCCAGACUCCUACGGGAGGCAGCAGUGGGGAAUAUUGGACAAUGGGCGCAAGCCUGAUCCAGCCAUACCGCGUGGGUGAAGAAGGCCUUCGGGUUGUAAAGCCCUUUUGUUGGGAAAGAAAAGCAGCAGGUUAAUACCACGCUGUUCUGACGGUACCCAAAGAAUAAGCACCGGCUAACUUCGCG
RNAcentral lists this ribosomal RNA (492 nucleotides) under uncultured bacterium. RNAcentral's name for it is "partial 16S ribosomal RNA". It matches the Rfam family "Bacterial small subunit ribosomal RNA", at positions 29 to 507 of the family's 1533-position model. The record is from RNAcentral.